RNAcentral lists this transfer RNA (72 nucleotides) under Bacteroidota bacterium. RNAcentral's name for it is "tRNA-Thr". It matches the Rfam family "tRNA". From Rfam's summary of the family: Transfer RNA (tRNA) molecules are approximately 80 nucleotides in length. RNAcentral also lists the same sequence under 2 other names. Lineage: Bacteria; Pseudomonadati; Bacteroidota. The record is from RNAcentral.
GCCAAUGUAGCUCAGGGGUAGAGCACUUCCUUGGUAAGGAAGGGGUCACGAGUUCAAUUCUCGUCAUUGGCU